This 405-nucleotide ribosomal RNA is filed under the name uncultured bacterium. RNAcentral describes it as "partial 16S ribosomal RNA". It matches the Rfam family "Bacterial small subunit ribosomal RNA", at positions 355 to 774 of the family's 1533-position model. The record is from RNAcentral.
UGGGGAAUAUUGGUCAAUGGAGGAAACUCUGAACCAGCAACGCCGCGUGAGUGAUGAAGGUCUUCGGAUUGUAAAGCUCUGUUGGAAGGGACGAAAAAAAUGACGGUACCUUCUAAGAAAGCCACGGCAAACUACGUGCCAGCAGCCGCGGUAAUACGUAGGUGGCAAGCGUUGUCCGGAAUGACUGGGCGUAAAGAGUGCGUAGGCGGCAAAUUAAGUUGGAAGUGUAAUCCCGGGGCUCAACCUCGGUGCUACUUCCAAAACUGGUUUGCUUGAGUGUGGGAGAGGUAAGUGGAAUUCCUAGUGUAGCGGUGGAAUGCGUAGAUAUUAGGAGGAACACCAGAGGCGAAGGCGGCUUACUGGCCCAUAACUGACGCUGAGGCACGAAAGCGUGGGGAGCAAACA